Molecule: long non-coding RNA, 760 nt
Organism: Rhinolophus ferrumequinum (greater horseshoe bat)
Lineage: Eukaryota; Metazoa; Chordata; Mammalia; Chiroptera; Rhinolophidae
Exons: 4
Source: RefSeq, a predicted model, not a curated record
GGAGGUGAAGAACAUGAAGGACUAGGAGCCCUGUGGCAUCGCAUGACCACAGAACGUGCUGGGUCAGUAGAGUAGAGGCUCAGCCAAAACCAGGAAUAUGAAAUGCAGACUUGCCUACCGUGAACAAGUUCAGAAGGAGCAGAAUGCAAACUUAAACUUAGGUCUUCUCCAUCUAAGCCCAGCGCCUCUGCCAUUUCCCUCUGAUUUUACUGAAGAUCAUUUCACCCAGAGUGUCCACUGACUGGUCAUGAAGGGGAGAUAGCCCAGAGCACUUCAUCUGGGGAAGCUGCCCAGUUUGCCGAACUAUGCUGUAUUGGUUCAAAAUACUUUUGGAAUACUUCUCUCUACCAGUCAACCCUCUACGCAGAAGACAUUCACAGGAAAUGAAAUCGGCAAUUCUUUAUUCCUUCAUCAUGGAUUGUUACUUAUCCUGAGCAAAUGAAUGAGUGAUUAUUUUCAAAAUACCAGCACAUUAGAAGCAAGACACAACACUAGCCCCACUUUACAGAGUGGCCAUUCAGCUAUCCAACCAAGUAUCAUUCAGCUUCCCAGAACUUUUUCCAGAUAUGCUCAGAGAAGAGCUUGUUGACAACUUCACCAGUAGCCACUUUCUAAAUGGGGAAGUGGACUGACUCCGAGGGACAGUGUGUAUUAGUCAUAGGAGGUGAGGCAUGGUGACAUUCUAAAAAACAAAGGAGACCAGAAAUAGAAUUACAAAAUAUCUAGAGCAUUUUUUUCUCUAGAGAAAUGCUCAAAAACA